AUUUAAGAAAUACGACAACCAAGUAUGAUAUAGGAUCCUUUUUGGACCUUGAGUUGAACAAACUUAUAAGUCAUAUUUUUGGGUCAAUCAGAGAACAGCUAUGUUACAUGAUACUAAUGCCUGUUUGUUAAUUUUGAUGUUGUGGUAUUGUCGUGUUAUAUUUCAAGUAACCUUAUCUGUUAGAUAAUGCACACUGAGGCAUGUGUGGUAUCUGAUGUCUGGAAAUGUAUUUGUACAUAGUCUAGAAUUUAAAAGAAAAUAAAAAGCUGCUGUAUUUGAUGGGGAGAGCUUUAUUAAAAUUGUCAAAAUUUUUGUGAAGAUUAUUGUAGCUUAAAGAUUGCUGCAUUGGAACCAGUGGACUCUCCCCUCUACUGUGGUGUACAUUUGAAAAUAUCUGUAAUUAAGAUUUGUAAGUAAACCUUUCAAACUAUUAGCACAGUCUUUCAGCUUGAGGAAAAUGCAUGUAUCUGCACAUAGUUUUGAUAGCAUGGGACAUUAUCCAAGUUUCUUAAUACAAGCAUUAUUCUUUAGAAAUCAAGGUCUUAUAAUUCCAACUAGACAGAUGUUUGGGACUAUGAGCUUAGCAUGUGAAAAUGGUACAUGUCACAGAGCAAAUGUAGAUGAGAAUAUGUUGUGAGAAGAAAAAUAUCUGAGAAAACAUGUAACCUUUUAGAAUACAACACAUCCUCUGUAAAGUGUUUAGAAAGAGAGGCAGGUGCUCCCUGAGAAGAAGGAGCCAAGGGGUGGUUUAGUGAGAAAGAAGGAAUCCUGAGCACUUCUCAACACUUCCCCCAGUGCUGCAGAUUGAACUUGCAAGGCAACCGCUCCCCUGUGGAGCUACAUCCCCAGUGCAGGAGCCAUGAGCAUGGCUAAGGUUCCCCCUCCUCCCAGUGCACCCUGUGUUUACCCCACAAGACAGUCCUGCGCUCUGUGCACUCUGAGCUCACACUGUGCACGCUGAGUUGUCCACUUGCUGUCCACGUCCACCCACUGUCCGCUGUCCUGUAUGUAGAGUGCUGCCAUGAGGGCAGGGAUGGGCCCUGCAGCGUCACCUCCGUGCCCCAACAUCACGCUGUAACUCUUGGCACACAAGCACUCGAUGAGUAUUUUUCAGUCAAUUGAUUAAAUAAUUUGUUUUGUUUUGUUUUGUUUUGUUUUGUUUCAAAAUUAAUUCCCAAUCCUCUCUACCCUGUUCUACAUGAUAAAGGUUUGUUUUCAUUGAGAAAUAGCAAAUAAAGGCUUUGGACCCCUGAAGUUUAAAUACUAAAAUCCUCAUAACAAUGUUUUGUUCUUAAGGGACUGCAUGAAUUCGGAGGACAUUUUUAAUGCCUAAUAAUGCUCUAGGAAGUUCGCCAAAAACUCUGCCAUCACUAGGAGUUCAAACCUAGGGAACGUGUCCCUCCAAAUGUGUUAGAGAGUAUUUCAGCUCCUUCUGCGCGGGACGUACUGGCUUAUGCUGGCAUCUGUCUUUCCCACCUCCCCCCAAGGGAAGUGGCAGUUUCUUUUCAGGGUCAUCCACGAUUCCAGCUGUCUCUUUGGUGAGCGGAAGAUAGCCCUGCUUGUCUCCCCCAGCUCCUCCAGCUCUAAUGAGAGACAAUCUGUUCCACACGGAAGAGCUGCGCAGCAGGAAGAAAGCUGGUUUCUAUAAGGUGGAGACACAUAGAAUCGCUGAAUGCCAUUUUCAAGGACAAAAGGAAGAGAUCUGAGAGCUCUGCAAAGGAAUAGAGAAAAUAGCAAGAAAAAAUCCACCCUCCGUCCCAGCACCAAAGGACUUUCUGGUCCCAGGACAAUGACUGCCUCCUCCGUCGUCUCCCAUCACCUGUCCUUUAGGUGCAUCUGCCUCGCACUCUCACCAAACCUCUUCUUCACAGGGUCACCUAGAAAACAGGGGAGGGAGUGGAGGGGAAGACAGGGUCACCUUUACUGCAUCACUUGUUCCUUGAAGAAUGUGUAUAUUUAUUGUAUUUGUAGCCUCUCUCUAAACCAGAGCACAUGUCAAGGCAACUGGUUUGUGACCUUGACAUUUAUCCCACUACGAUAACUCUAGACAGACCUUUCCUAGAGAGAGAAAGCAAUGAAGUGGUACAGAACCGCUGGUUCCACCUGAGGUUCGCAUCGUUAUUGGGUCGUAUGUACUGAAUGUCUUACCCGGCCUAUUAUCUGUCUUUUCACAUGUGUGCUGUUUUUCAUUUUUAAUUGCUUUUAUUUACCAAAUGUCUUACUCAUUGCAUUAUCUAGUUUUUCAGAUGCUGUCUCUUUUUCAUUGCACUGCAUAGCGAGCCUACCAAAAUUGAUGCAGAGUGAAUUAAUAACCGACAAGUGUCAAGUACUCUGCAAGGUUGGACUCAAGAGUUUUCACAGCAAGAGAUGGGUGUUUCUUUAUAUCUUCACUCCCAUAACCACUGCUUUUUAAUAAGAACUGAAUGAUUUGCCCUUAAAAGGGAAAUUAUAAUGCUGAACAUUUAUUUGCAAGCAUCAACAAUGUGUUGUCAAAUAACUUCAGUUAUUCAAAACAAUAUUUCAGUGUCCUCCAUUUUCUAAAACAAACAAAUAAAUCCUUGGAUUUUUUUGUAAUUUAAAUAAUUUAUAUUAGUAUUUACAUUUUCAGAAAUAUCUAUGUGGAAAUAUUGGUAUUCCUAAUAUGUCCAUGGAAGGAAUUCACAAUGGAAAAUCAUCCCAAAAAGUAGAAAGUCAACAAUAGAUUGCAUAAACAAUAGAUUGUUUGGUAGAGUGUACUUUAUUAUUUAUUACAUUUCUGGUUUUCCUGUUCACAUUUCACCAUGUUUGCCCCUAUAAAUACUAGACAGAAAAAUAAUUAGUAUUUUUUCUUCUCUUCCAAGAAGCUGAGGCUGCUUUACUCGUGGCCAAGGAUGGAGUUAAAUAGAAUCCUAUAAUAAUACAGUUCACUACCUAGAUUCUAAGUGCUGUGGUACAACCACAUCCAGCAAAAGGUCAUCACUGCCCAGAGAGGAGCCCUUCCACAGCAACAGCCUAUUUUUUUCUGUUCAAACCAAUGUUUGGAAAAAAUGUGUUCCAUUUUCUCUGGAGGCUUUUGUUUUCCUUGUGAGCAAUACCUUGUUCUGCUGUCUACGCGACCACUAGAAUUUUAUCAGCACUAAUAAACGGCACAGACCAUCUC
Molecule: long non-coding RNA, 3139 nt
Organism: Cavia porcellus (domestic guinea pig)
Lineage: Eukaryota; Metazoa; Chordata; Mammalia; Rodentia; Caviidae
Exons: 2
Source: RefSeq, a predicted model, not a curated record